Long non-coding RNA from Hyla sarda, 949 nucleotides. RefSeq lists it as uncharacterized. Lineage: Eukaryota; Metazoa; Chordata; Amphibia; Anura; Hylidae. The transcript is spliced from 4 exons. The record is from RefSeq and is a predicted model, not a curated record.
UCGUCGCCGCUCGCUCCUGCUUUUAUUUUCCUACGGCUGUCCCUGCUAUCUUCCCAUCCCAAUGAGAGACAAGUAUGUCAUCUUUUCUGUCUACAAUACACUCCCCUCCUGGAAAUCCUAAAAAAAAAGAGAAAAGAAGAUGGAACCGAUUCACACGAGAGAUAUAAAAGAAAAUUAAUUUUACAUGCGACAAGCCUUUAAAUGUUGCUAAAAAGCAGCACGUAAAUGACAGCGCUUUGUGUCUCUCAACAGAAGGGUCUGUGGAGAGCUGGGUGACAUUCCCUAUAAGCAUAGUUUGUUCAAAUGACCAACUCAGCUCUGCUACAUCCAUAUCUGAAACACAAUGGAUAAAUCACUAUGUUACGAGUUCUGCCAAAUGACCAACUCAGCUCUGCUGUAUUUGUGCUUGAAAGAAAAUGUUUUAUCUCAUUACUAAAUUAUGAGUUCGGCCAAGUGACCAACUCAGCACUGCUACAUCCGUGCUUGAAAGAAAAAAUGUCACCACAUCUCUAGGAGUAUUGCCAAAUUACUAACUCAGCUCUACUAUAUCCAUGUUUGAAUAAAAAAAGUUGCAUUACAUCUCUGUAUUAGGAGUAUUGCCAAGUGACCAACUCAGCUCUGCUUUAUCCAUGCUUGAAGGAAACUUAUUAAUCGCAUCACUAUUUAAUGAGUUCUUCUAAAUUGCCAACUCAGCUCUGCUACAUCCGUGCUUGGAAGAAAAAGUUUCAUUACAUGACUAUAUUAUAGGUUUGUUCAAAUGACCAACUCAGCUCUGCUACAUCCAUAUCUGAAACAAAACGGAUAAAUCGCAACGUUACGAGUUCUGCCAAAUGACCAACUCGUCCAUGCUUGAAAGAAAAUACUUCAUCACAACUUUUUAAUGAGUUCUGCCAAACAACCAACUCAACUCUGCUAUAUCUCUGCUAGAAGGAAAAUGCUUAAAGGGGUA